CGCUAUCGCUUACUUCCGGUAUACUUCCGGAAAAUUUGCAUAAAACUAGCAAGUGAGCUUUAUUCUCUGUACUAUUCUCAAGAUUUCAAGCUAGGUUUAGGCAAAUAAAAGUGCACCGUUCAAGUUAUACAAGUAGCUAAAGAACUGAAUUGCUUUAAGUUACAUGGCAGAUACAGAACUGCAGCCCGAUAGCCAGUGCGGUGAAAACAUUUUUGAUAUCCCAUAUAUGUAAUAGUUUUAAUUCAAAGCAAUAAUGUUUUUUAAGAUCUUCAAUAUCACUAGAAUUCAAAAAUUUUACGUUGUGUCUCACAAGGCGCGUUUUUGGGACUUGAAGUGUCAAAGGUGUCCAAUAGAUGACAUAGGUGUUCUUGUUUAUCAUGUGAUGGCGGAUUGUUGGGUGGUUGUCAAAAGUUUUCCUUAAUUUUUCCAUGAAAGUUACCGAUGAAUUCAUCAGUAAAUUCAAGUUUAUUUCUGUGCAACUUGUUUGUAAUGUGAUUUAUUCCGUAUGUGUGUUGGAUCACCUUACAUAUUUCUAUUAUUACGUGUAGCAUGCGUGUAGGAAGGAACGCGAAAGGCAACUGAAACUACAGGUAGCCUACCAUCAAUUCUUUGAUUAAAAUCGCCGCUCUGCUGAAUGCUUUAUCCUGUUGAUGCAGUUCAUAUUCUAUUGGUAAUCUGGAGUUUCUAAUAAUGUUGGUAGAUCACUAACCCCAGCGUGGACAACACAUGUUGUUUUUUCAUGUUUUCUACAAAUAAUGCAUUGACAGACAAACCAUGGGUAAUCUUCAGGUUAAUUGCAGCAACUUGGGACUUGUCCUGUGAAAAGACACAGGGCACAUGACCAGAUUUGUGUUUUUCUGAAUGUUCUAUUCAACUAGUAGUUAGUUGGAACCCUAACUCAAACACAGACAACACAUUGCUGCUGCCUUACGGCCACAGGCAGGAAAAUGAUUCUUUUCUUCAGAAAAUUUUAGUGAAAGGCGUGAAGAAUCAAGAAUUCAAGUUUAGCUGCUGCGUGCUGUCAGCAAGCAAGCAAUCCAAUUGAUGUCCACCAGGUGGCGCGAGUGUCUUCAAGGCCCAAAUUCGGCCAUUUUGUUCCUUGACGUAGCAGAAGUGAGAUGCCGGUCGUGACGUUUCCCAAAAUGAAAAGGUGAUUGAUCUUACCACUUUGCCAUCGGAAUUGAAAAUGCCUGUACAAUUGCCGAAUUGUCGUGCCUCGUGUGACUCGCUGCCUGUACCCAGUCGUACGUCUCAUCCCAUGCAACAUCAAAAGUCUAACAACCACGCUGCACGCUGCAGCCAGAUGGUGAAAGGUGUGAUGAAGAAAAGUUCAACCGUUGUAUGCAGGAUGUGGUGUCAGUGUUAUCCAGAAGUAGCUGUGCUGGAGUUAUUCCGAAGCAGCUGAGCCAGAAUUUUUCCAAAUUGCAGACUUCAAAUUUUAACUGCCUUCAUUUGUGUUUUUUGCUUUGCAAGUGGUAUCCGUGGUGCUGAUUUGAAAUAUUUUUAUCCCCUUUUAUUUGUGGUUUUGCUCUGCCGAUGAGUUUCUGACUUGAAUUGGUUUCAUCUGUCGUCUUUUGUGUUUUUACUUGGGCAGUAUACGAUUGUGGCAAACUGAUUCUAUGUCAGUUUUGAUACAGUCGACAACUGCUAGAUUAAAUUCCGGCUUUCCGCACCAACAAAAUAAUAACGGCACAUGUUAUUAUCGCGGUUGGGAAAGUCACAGGCCCCCCCCUCCCUGGGGGCCAUAAAAAAUAUAUGUGGUUGUGUU
Molecule: long non-coding RNA, 1768 nt
Filed under: Daphnia pulicaria
Lineage: Eukaryota; Metazoa; Arthropoda; Branchiopoda; Diplostraca; Daphniidae
Description: uncharacterized LOC124313549, transcript variant X10
Source: RNAcentral